GGGUAACCUGCCCUAUGCUGGGGAAUAACCUCGGAAAACGGAGAAUAAUACCCCAUAGUCCACCAUGCCUGGAACGGUUGGUGGAUCAAAGCUCCGGCGGCAUAGGAUGGGCCUGCGGCGUAUCAGGUUGUAGGGGGUGUAACGUACCCUCUAGCCAUCAACGCGUACGGGUGUUGGGAGACAUAGCCCGGAGAUGGAUUCUGAGACACGAAUCCAGACCCUACGGGGUGCAGCAGGCGCGAAAACUUGGCAAUGCGAGAAAUCGUGACCAGGGAACUCCAAGUGGCUGGGGGUAAGACCCAGUCUUUUCUUGACUCUUAAACGGUCUUGGAAUAAGGGGUGGGUAAGGACGGUGCCAGCCGCCGCGGUAAUACCGGCGCCUCAAGUGGUAGUCGAUUUUAUUGGGCCUAAAACGUCCGUAGCCUGUUUGGUACAUUCGUGGGUAAAUCAACCAGCUUAACUGAUUGAAUUCUGCGAGCACGGCCAGACUUGGGACCGGGAGAGGUGUGGGGUACGCUCAGGGUAGGGGUAAAAUCCUGUCAUCCUGAGCGGACCACCUGUUGGGAAGGCGCCACACUAGAACGGAUCCGACGGUCAGGGACGAAGCCUAGGGGCACGAACCGGAUUAGAUACCCGGGUAGUCCUAGGUGUAAACGCUGUGGACUUGGUGUGGGGGAUUCUCCGAGGAUCCUCAGUGCGGAAGGGAAGGUGAUAAGUCCUCUUCCUGGGGAGUACGGUCGCAAGGCUGAAACUU
Molecule: ribosomal RNA, 754 nt
Filed under: uncultured Candidatus Poseidoniales archaeon
Lineage: Archaea; Methanobacteriati; Thermoplasmatota; Candidatus Poseidoniia; Candidatus Poseidoniales
Description: bacterial SSU rRNA
Rfam family: Archaeal small subunit ribosomal RNA
Source: RNAcentral